CGCCUCUCGUUUACUUCAUGAGAGGUCCAGCCUGCCCAGUGACCUAGUUUAACGGCCGCGGUAUCCUGACCGUGCGAAGGUAGCGUAAUCACUUGUCUUUUAAAUAGAGACUAGUAUGAAUGGCAUCACGAGGACUAUACUGUCUCCUUUUUCUAAUCAGUGAAACUAAUCUUCCCGUGAAGAAACGGGAAUUUUAUUAUAAGACGAGAAGACCCUAUGGAGCUUUAAACAAAAUGAUAUCUGCUAACCCCUUCUUCUUCCCCCGGGCAAUAACCACCACCUUAGCAUUAUACUUAUUAGUUUUCGGUUGGGGCGACCACGGAGUAAAAAAAAACCUCCACGUUGGACGGGCUAUGCCCUUAGCAAAAAGCCACGACUUAAAGCACCAAUAAACUGACAUUAAUUGACCCAAUAUAUUGAUCAACGAACCAAGUUACCCUAGGGAUAACAGCGCAAUCCACUUCAAGAGCUCUUAUCGAAAAGUGGGCUUACGACCUCGAUGUUGGAUCAGGGUAUCCUAGUGGUGCAGCCGCUACUAAAGGUUCGUUUGUUCAACGAUUAAAACCCU
Molecule: ribosomal RNA, 568 nt
Filed under: Stefania satelles
Lineage: Eukaryota; Metazoa; Chordata; Amphibia; Anura; Hemiphractidae
Description: partial 16S ribosomal RNA
Rfam family: Bacterial large subunit ribosomal RNA
Source: RNAcentral